This 392-nucleotide long non-coding RNA is filed under the name Zostera marina. RNAcentral's name for it is "long non-coding RNA (ZMAR_LNC001469)". The record is from RNAcentral. Lineage: Eukaryota; Viridiplantae; Streptophyta; Magnoliopsida; Alismatales; Zosteraceae.
GCCCCUAUUCUUUGGAAACAUUUUUUAAGCAACAAAAUACAAUGCUCGUCACUCCAAUCAUGGAGGAUCCACUACAAAAAUAAGAAAGAUCGAGUACAUUAAUUCAAGUCAUUCAACAUGAUAUUUGUAUGUAUAAACAUGAUAUUUGUAUGUAUAAACAUAAUAUUGAAAAAGAAUUAUACCUUCAACAAAAUGGUAUCUCCACUCGGAAUGUCUUCGAACAUGUUGCCAGCUACAUGAUUCACUCCUAUGAAAUAAAAGAAAAUAAAAUUUAUCUGACAGUUAAAUGGAUGGUUGAUGAAAUUAAUGUAAAAUAAUAAUAAAUGCAAAGUAAAAAAUUAAAGAUAAUGUAUACCUUGAAUGAUUGGAGCAUUUGCAAUAACAUGAGGAAG